AGCAGUGUUGCCUAGUGGAUAGAGCAGUAGACUGGGACUCAGAAGAUCUGGGUUCUAGUCCCAGCUCUGCAA
RNAcentral lists this transfer RNA (72 nucleotides) under Chelonia mydas (Green sea turtle). It matches the Rfam family "tRNA". Rfam says of the family: Transfer RNA (tRNA) molecules are approximately 80 nucleotides in length. Their secondary structure includes four short double-helical elements and three loops (D, anti-codon, and T loops). Lineage: Eukaryota; Metazoa; Chordata; Testudines; Cheloniidae. The record is from Rfam by way of RNAcentral.